GCUCACCUCUUACCAUUCCGAACAGAGUAGUUAAGCCCGUUAGCGCCGAUGGUACUGCGUUUGUGGGAGAGUAGGUCAUCGCCUUUU
RNAcentral lists this ribosomal RNA (87 nucleotides) under Paucihalobacter ruber. Lineage: Bacteria; Pseudomonadati; Bacteroidota; Flavobacteriia; Flavobacteriales; Flavobacteriaceae. The record is from RNAcentral.